AUUCCGGUUGAUCCUGCCGGAGGCCAUUGCUAUCGGAGUUCGAUUUAGCCAUGCUAGUCGCACGAGUUCACACUCGUGGCGGAUAGCUCAGUAACACGUGGCCAAACUGCCCUAUGGAUCGGGAUAACCUCGGGAAACUGAGGCUAAUCCCGAAUACGGCUCUCUCACUGGAGUGUAGAGAGCUCGAAACGCUCAGGCGCCAUAGGAUGUGGCUGCGGCCGAUUAGGUAGACGGUGGGGUAACGGCCCACCGUGCCGAUAAUCGGUACGGGUUGUGAGAGCAAGAGCCCGGAGAUGGAUUCUGAGACAAGAAUCCAGGCCCUACGGGGCGCAGCAGGCGCGAAAACUUUACACUGCACGACAGUGCGAUAAGGGAACUCCGAGUGCGAGGGCAUAUCGUCCUCGCUUUUCUGAACCGUAAGGUGGUUCAGGAACAAGGGCUGGGCAAGACCGGUGCCAGCCGCCGCGGUAAUACCGGCAGCCCGAGUGAUGGCCGCUAUUAUUGGGCCUAAAGCGUCCGUAGCCUGCCAGACAGGUCCAUCGGGAAAUCUGCUCGCUCAACGAGCAGGCGUCCGGUGGAAACCAGCUGGCUUGGGGCCGGAAGACCCAGGGGGUACGUCCGGGGUAGGAGUGAAAUCCCGUAAUCCUGGACGGACCACCAAUGGCGAAAGCACCCUGGGAGGACGGACCCGACGGUGAGGGACGAAAGCUAGGGUCACGAACCGGAUUAGAUACCCGGGUAGUCCUAGCUGUAAACGAUGCUCGCUAAGUGUGGCACACGCUACGAGCGUGUGCUUCGCUGCAGCGAAGGCGUAAGCGAGCCGCCUGGGAAGUACGUCCGCAAGGAUGAAACUUAAAGGAAUUGGCGGGGGAGCACUACAACCGGAGGAGCCUGCGGUUUAAUUGGACUCAACGCCGGACAUCUCACCAGCUCCGACAGUAGCAGUGACGGUCAGGUUGAUGACUUUACCUGAGCUACUGAGAGGAGGUGCAUGGCCGCCGUCAGCUCGUACCGUGAGGCAUCCUGUUAAGUCAGGCAACGAGCGAGACCCGCGUCCGUAAUUGCCAGCAACACCCUCGUGGUGGUUGGGUACAUUACGGAGACUGCCAGUGCCAAACUGGAGGAAGGAACGGGCAACGGUAGGUCAGUAUGCCCCGAAUGAGCUGGGCUACACGCGGGCGACAAUGAUCGAGACAAUGGGAUGCAACCUCGAGAGAGGGCGCUAAUCUCCUAAACUCGGUCGUAGUUCGGAUUGAGGACUGAAACUCGUCCUCAUGAAGCUGGAUUCGGUAGUAAUCGCCGUUCAGAAGACGGCGGUGAAUACGUCCCUGCUCCUUGCACACACCGCCCGUCAAAGCACCCGAGUGAGGUCCGGAUGAGGCCAGCAAGCGCAGGUCGAAUCUGGGCUUCGCAAGGGGGCUUAAGUCGUAACAAGGUAGCCGUAGGGGAAUCUGCGGCUGGAUCACCUCCU
RNAcentral lists this ribosomal RNA (1471 nucleotides) under Halorussus sp. Its description in RNAcentral is "bacterial SSU rRNA". It matches the Rfam family "Archaeal small subunit ribosomal RNA". The record is from RNAcentral. Lineage: Archaea; Methanobacteriati; Methanobacteriota; Halobacteria; Halobacteriales; Haladaptataceae.